CCUACGGGAGGCAGCAGUGGGGAAUAUUGCACAAUGGGGGAAACCCUGAUGCAGCGACGCCGCGUGAGUGAAGAAGUAAUUCGUUAUGUAAAGCUCUAUCAGCAGGGAAGAAAAUGACGGUACCUGAGUAAGAAGCCCCGGCUAACUACGUGCCAGCAGCCGCGGUAAUACGUAGGGGGCAAGCGUUAUCCGGAUUUACUGGGUGUAAAGGGAGCGUAGACGGCAGUGCAAGUCUGGAGUGAAAGGCGGGGGCUCAACCCCCGGACUGCUGUGGAAACUGUACGGCUGGAGUGCAGGAGAGGUAAGUGGAAUGCCUGGUGUAGCGGUGAAAUGCGGAGAUAUGAGGCGGAACCCCGGUGGCGAAGGCGGCUUACUGGCCUGUAACUGACGUUGAGGCUCGAAAGCGUGGGGAGCAAACAGGAUUAGAUACCCUAGUAGUC
RNAcentral lists this ribosomal RNA (440 nucleotides) under uncultured bacterium. RNAcentral's name for it is "partial 16S ribosomal RNA". It matches the Rfam family "Bacterial small subunit ribosomal RNA", at positions 338 to 795 of the family's 1533-position model. The record is from RNAcentral.